UUCAGCUUUGGGUGCUGACGGUGGGG
RNAcentral lists this non-coding RNA (26 nucleotides) under Cricetulus griseus (Chinese hamster). Lineage: Eukaryota; Metazoa; Chordata; Mammalia; Rodentia; Cricetidae. The record is from RNAcentral.